UACGGGAGGCAGCAGUAAGGAAUAUUGCGCAAUGGGCGACAGCCUGACGCAGCGACGCCGCGUGGGGGAUGAAGGUCUUCGGAUUGUAAACCCCUUUCGGCAGGGAAGAUGGAACGGGUAACCGUUCGGACGGUACCUGCAGAAGCAGCCACGGCUAACUUCGUGCCAGCAGCCGCGGUAAUACGAAGGUGGCAAGCGUUGUUCGGAUUUACUGGGCGUACAGGGAGCGUAGGCGGUUGGGUAAGCCCUCCGUGAAAUCUCCGGGCCUAACCCGGAAAGUGCGGAGGGGACUGCUCGGCUAGAGGAUGGGAGAGGAGCGCGGAAUUCCCGGUGUAGCGGUGAAAUGCGUAGAGAUCGGGAGGAAGGCCGGUGGCGAAGGCGGCGCUCUGGAACAUUUCUGACGCUGAGGCUCGAAAGCGUGGGGAGCAAACAGGAUUAGAUACCCUGGUAGUCCACGCCUUAAACGAUGGAUACUAAGUGUCGGCGGGUUACCGCCGGUGCCGCAGCUAACGCAUUAAGUUUCCGCCUG
Molecule: ribosomal RNA, 529 nt
Filed under: uncultured Nitrospirota bacterium
Lineage: Bacteria; Pseudomonadati; Nitrospirota
Description: bacterial SSU rRNA
Rfam family: Bacterial small subunit ribosomal RNA
Source: RNAcentral